Molecule: non-coding RNA, 783 nt
Filed under: Euaspis polynesia
Lineage: Eukaryota; Metazoa; Arthropoda; Insecta; Hymenoptera; Megachilidae
Source: RNAcentral
AUAAAGAAUGGUAUUUUUGUUUAAAAUUAAUUAUAUUGAUUAAUUAAUAUAUAAUAAUUUAUAUUAUGAUUUAAUUAUUUAAAAUAAUUAAUUAAAUUUAUUUAGUGAUUAAAUUUAUUUAAUAAAUUUAGGUUUAAUUUAGUAAUUAAUUUUAUUAAAGUUAAAAUUUAGUGCCAGCAAAUGCGGUUACACUAUUUUUGAGAAUUAAUAGUUAUAAUUAUUAAGAAUAUAUAAUAAUUUAUUAAAUUUAUUAGUAAUUUUUUGGUGAAAUAUUAAUUAGUAUAAAAUUUAAUUGUUAUGAUAAUAUUUUUAAUAAAUUUUUAUUUUAAACUAGGAUUAGAUACCCUAUUAUUAAUAAUAAAAUUUAAAUAAUUAGUGAUUAAAUGUAAAUCAUUAAAAUUAAAAAAUAUGGCGGUUAUAUAAAUAUUUAGGGGAAUUUGUAAAUUAAUUGAUGAUCCACGAUAGGAUUUACUAAUAUUAAUUUUUUUGUAUUGUUGUUUAAAGAAUUUAUAUUAAUAUAUUUUUUUGUAAUUUUUUUUUUAAAAAAAAAUAAUUCAAAUCAAAAUGAAGAAUAUAUUAGAAUAUUAUGAAUUAUAAUAAAUUAAAUUAUUGUAAAUUAAUAUAUUUUAAUUUGUAUUAAUAAAUAAGAUUUAAAAGUAAAUUAAAUUUAAAUUAUUUUAAUUGAAUAUUAAUUAUAUAACGUACAAAUUGCCCGUCAAUUUCAUUAAAUGUGAUUUAAGUCGUAACAAAGUAAAUGUACUGGAAAGUGUAUUUAUUAAGAAU